GUCUCGUUGGUGUAGUUGGUUAUCACGUGGGUCUCAUAGCUCUGUAUCUAUGACUGACUGUUUACAGUUGGAUAUCCCAAGGCCGCCAGUUCGAGUCUGGCACGGGACA
Molecule: non-coding RNA, 109 nt
Organism: Delitschia confertaspora ATCC 74209
Lineage: Eukaryota; Fungi; Ascomycota; Dothideomycetes; Pleosporales; Delitschiaceae
Source: the annotation of a GenBank genome assembly